UUCUCACUCGACCGCGAAAAGACUACGCGCACACGUCAAACUGUGUCCCACACGACCCGUACCUGCCCCGCCCCUCUCCUUCCAACCGCGUCGUCUCCCACCACCGCCGCCGAAACCCUACACCCCCUCCGGCCAUGGCGGAUCCGCCGCCCGUGGCCGCCUCCGCCUCGCCGCAGCCCGACCAGCUCGUCGCGGCCUCCGCCUCCACCCCGCAUAACACCAACCCUAACCCCCUCCUCUCCCCUCAAAUCCCCCCGUCCCCAACCGUCUCCGACCUCUCCGCGCACAUCUCCUCCCCUCAGCAGCUCGACCCGGCCUCGGCGGCUGCUUCCGGCGGCGGAUCCAUGGACUUCCCUCCGCGGCCGCCGCAGCAGCUGCAGGCGCCUUCGCCCACGCAGGCGGCGACCGGCGCCGGCGGCUUCGGCCAGAUCCACCGCUCGGGGUCGGCCUCCCGCCUUUCCACCGCCAGCCAGCUCCCGCAGUACGCCGCCAUGGCGGCUAGGAUGUAUGGCGGGCAGAUGAGUUUCUCGGGCGGCGGAGGGCAAGUGGGUCAGCAGCAGCAGCAGCUGAUAGCGCGCGCGGCCAUGCUUGGGCAGGGCCACCUGGGGAUGCUGCAAGGCCAGGGGAACGCGGCACAUUUCGGGCUUCAGCCGCAGAUGAUGGUGCAGCCAAGGCAAAAGGGCAUGGCACAAAGUACACAAUUUAAUACUGCUAAUGCAGCUCAAGCGCUGCAAGGGAUGCAGCCCAUGGGAGUCAUGGGUACUUUGGGGAUGAACCAGAUGAGACCGAAUGGUACUAUUCCCUAUGGUGCUCAACAACGGUUUGCCCAUGCUCAAAUGAGGCCACAACAAGCAUCUCAGCAAGCAGCAUUAUCCCCGCAGGUAGCCGGUCAAGGCUUGUCGAGAACAGCAUCGAUUGCAGCAGUAAAUUCACAACUACCUGGAUCAUCGCAAAAUGGACAGAUGGUGGCAAUGUCUAUGCCUCAGCAACAGCAGCAGCAGCAAUGGUUGAAGCAAAUGCAAUCAUCAAUGGGAUCACCAGUUUCUCCACAACUUCAUCAACAAAGGCUUAUGUUGAUGCAGCAACUUCAGCAGAAGACAGGAUUGAGCCAACAACAAAUUGCACAAGCCCAACAACAGCAUCCACAUCUCAGUGCCCAACAACUGAUUCAGCAGCAACAAUUUCUACAGCAGCUUCAGCAGCAGCAACCACAACAAUCUCCAAGAAUUUCAGCAUCUGGUUCGCAGAAGUCUGCAAACCUUACAGGAUCGCAGCCGGGUACACCUUUGUCAGGUGGAACUAUGACUGGUGGAAGUGCAAGUCAGGGAGCGGAAGGAACUAGCCAACUCCUUGGGAAAAGAAAAAUACAAGAUCUGGUUGCACAGGUAGAUCCCCUAGGCAAGGUUGACCCUGAUGUGGAAGAUUUGCUUUUAGAGAUUGCUGAUGACUUCAUUGACUCGGUGACUGCAUUUGCAUGCACCUUGGCAAAGCACAGGAAAUCAUCAGUUGUGGAAGCCAAGGACGUGUUGCUGCACUUAGAAAGAAAUUGGCAUUUGUCAGUUCCUGGUUUCUCAAGGGAGGAUAAGAAUCCUCAAAGAAAUUCUGUAAAGCCACUGGUGGAUCCCCAACAACCUGAAAGUGAUGCUGCUGGUAUUAGAGGCGCAAGCAAUAAACUUAUUGCCAAUAACUCGGCUGGCAACCAUCAAAUAAGAUCUCAGGUUGCAGAGCCUUCACCAACGCCGACAGUGGGCCCUCUGUCGAAAGUUCCUCGUUUCUAAGUGUUAUGCUGUUCUCCUCUAUGGUAGGAGAAUUCCCUGUAAGUUCAUCCGGACAAUCUACAUGCACCCCGUCGGUAGGCUAAACUCGAGGAUUGCUAGCAAAUGGAAGUACAAUAAAUUCAUGAGCACCUAUGGGCUAAAAGCGCAGAUGCUCGUGUACUUACAGGAAAGCAGUUGCUGACUGACCACUCGUUGACCAUAGACUCUUGCAAGGCUACUUGUAACUUUUUCCUCUCUAGCUGCCCCCAUCCGUUGUAUAUAAUUGUUUUUGCAACUGGGGCAUCUAAGUGAUUGCACUCAACCCAGAAGCUCAUGACCUAAGACGUAACGCGUGUCUUGUCGGUUGUUACGGGCUCAGUCCUCGAACAAACACAAUUGAGCAAUCUUGUGAGGAGUGUCACUGUUUCUUCUUUCAACUUUA
This is an RNA transcript of Phragmites australis (common reed), 2199 nucleotides long. It is a transcript of the gene named transcription initiation factor TFIID subunit 12b-like, with no coding region annotated. NCBI's taxonomy places the organism in Eukaryota, Viridiplantae, Streptophyta, Magnoliopsida, Poales, Poaceae. The transcript has 8 exons. The record is from RefSeq and is a predicted model, not a curated record.